UGACCGCUUGGCUUGUGCUUCCCUCCUGGUCCUCUCAACCAGUGCGUGCAGGUAGAGCCCAUAAAUGUCGUCUCAUCGCCCGGGCUCUCUCUGGGCUAAUUGCUGGUUGUUGCGCCCUAUCCUUGCGGGACCAUUUGCUCCUGCCUCCGGCAACCUGCGGUGGCAGAGCCCUUCAGUCACUGGUUGGGGCUAUUUCUAGAAAUGGCUUGACCUUUGGAGCUGCCAAAUUAUAACGUGAAGGCGAUACGACUCCCCAGCCAUGGGGCUGUGUCUGCAUUUAUACCGUGGCUUCAGACACCGAGCAACUACAAAUGAAACCUGCUGUGUCACCCGGUGAUGUCCCAGUCCUCACUGGGUCUGGGGCAGAGGAGCACUGGGGCUUGGCACAGCCAUGGAUGCGAUAGCAAAUAAGCUCUAGCUCCUCCUUAUUUCCAUUUAGAUAAUUAAGGGGGAGGUAAAAGCGUAAUUUCUUGGGAAUUUGUUCUUUGUUUCAAAAAGAAAGGACAGAGCUGCUUUUUUUUUUUUUUUUUUUUUUAAUUGCUGUGUAUUUCUUCAGCUCAGUGUAACACACCCCGUGUCAGGGAUGGUCAUAACAUGAGCCAGGCAAGACCAAGAUGUCCCUCCCACCAGCUGAGAGAUGGGAGCUGGGGGGGAUGAAGAAUUCCCAAGAGAUUUUUCCCUUUCUGGAGUGAAGGUGCAAAAUAUCCCAGUGCCUGUGUUGCAUUUAACUGCGCACGAGUGUUCAGCAAGCACAGUGAGAACAGAUGGUGGCAGCUGAAAGGAGCUGGAGCUUGGAGAUGGGAUUAGGAGGCAGCUGUUGGUGUUGUGAUGGAGCGUCUCACCCUCAGAGAGCCGGAGCAGAGUUUACACAGGCUGCUGGCAUGGCAUGCGAGACAUGCUGGAAAGCUCGGGGAUGGAUGGCUCCAGCCCUGCCAGCACCACCGGGGAAUCGCAACCCGGGAUGCGGCCCUUCUCCCACGGGGAGGAUCAGCGCCUGCCUUGUAGAGCCAGUGGGUAAUUUGUCAGAGGAGCUUCCAGAUGAAGAGUCCUAGGAGGGUGCGAUCCCUCCUCCAUGGACUGCCCAGGCUGGGCACGCUGGAGGAUGUGAGCACAUUGCUUAUGAGCAUGGGGCCAAAGCUGCUGCUGUGACUGUCAUACCCACGCAGGACAAGUUCAGAUGAUCCAAAUACAUCUCUGAAAAUGAGGAAUGGGCAGCGAGGCCGGCUUGGAGGGCGUGCAGUCUGCUCUGACAGCAACUCACGUGCCUGGUCCGCUUCCCUCGCUGGCCAGACCCCCCUCCAUGCGACAGCCGUAAAAGAGCUGCUGGAAGGCUCCCACACAGAAAUAAACCAUUUACAAGCUCCCGUGGCCUCGUACGUAGGGCCAAGGUUAACAGCGGAGGGGAAACCUGGCUGCAGAAGAAAAGCCUGUUGCAUCUGAAGGCUGGAAGGAGGAAAUUUUGGUUUAAAUGACCCAUGCAAGGUUUAAAGCGUGGCUUAACAGGGAUCGCGUCGUGGAAGGUGGCAGGGCAGCCGGGAGCAGAGCGGGUGAGGAUGCUGCCCACAACCUCUCGCUCAGCAUCACCCCCAUCCAUGGGGAUGCUCUGGCCCUGCCAAGGCACCCGGGGAUUUUAUGGGUGACCUCAACAGACCCAAUGCCCCACAUCCAUCCAAGGGUUAGCUACCAAAAUCGUGACUUCAGCUGGGAUUUGAAGCACCUGCAGCCAGCGCAAGCUACCCUCACCUCCCUGCCUCGCUCUGCCAGGGCAGGAUUCUCAGGAUCCCAGGCAAAAUUCCUCUUGAGGAUAAGAGUCGUGGAGGUGGAUCAGAAGUUAAGCCCAGCACUUGCAUGGGGCUCUCGAGCUACAGCGACAGCCACCACGCUCUACAAACUCUGUCGGUGUUAUUACGUGGGAACAGAGAAUUGAAGCUAAACCCAUCCAUGCCCUGGCUCGUGCUGUGCUCGCAGCACGCUUGUGCAGGACCGCGGGCUCAGCCCC
Long non-coding RNA from Harpia harpyja (harpy eagle), 1999 nucleotides. RefSeq lists it as uncharacterized. The record is from RefSeq and is a predicted model, not a curated record. Lineage: Eukaryota; Metazoa; Chordata; Aves; Accipitriformes; Accipitridae. The transcript is spliced from 5 exons.